ACCUGGCCCUCAGGCAUACAGAAC
RNAcentral lists this microRNA (24 nucleotides) under Ananas comosus (pineapple). RNAcentral's name for it is "microRNA s0781_c108a". The record is from RNAcentral. Lineage: Eukaryota; Viridiplantae; Streptophyta; Magnoliopsida; Poales; Bromeliaceae.